RNAcentral lists this transfer RNA (74 nucleotides) under Pteropus alecto (black flying fox). It matches the Rfam family "tRNA". From Rfam's summary of the family: Transfer RNA (tRNA) molecules are approximately 80 nucleotides in length. Their secondary structure includes four short double-helical elements and three loops (D, anti-codon, and T loops). Lineage: Eukaryota; Metazoa; Chordata; Mammalia; Chiroptera; Pteropodidae. RNAcentral also lists the same sequence under 1 other name. The record is from Rfam by way of RNAcentral.
GGCUCCAUAGUGUAGUAGUUAGCACGUCUGCUUUAUAUGCAGUAUGUCCUCGGUUCACGCCCCAGGUGGAGCCA